Molecule: ribosomal RNA, 3448 nt
Filed under: Candidatus Yanofskybacteria bacterium CG10_big_fil_rev_8_21_14_0_10_36_16
Lineage: Bacteria; Candidatus Yanofskyibacteriota
Description: bacterial LSU rRNA
Rfam family: Bacterial large subunit ribosomal RNA
Source: RNAcentral
UCAACAAGGGCGUAUGGAGGAUGCCUUGACAUCAAAAGGCGAUGAAGGGCGUGGCGUGACUGCGAUAAGCUUCGGGGAGCCGUCUAGCGGGCUUUGAUCCGGAGAUUUCCGAAUGGGAUAACCCCACAUAGUGAAAGCUGUGUGACUCCGUCUAAGACGGAGAGCGUACCCGGGGAAGUGAAACAUCUCAGUACCCGGAGGAAAGGAAAAAGAAGUCGCCUCUGGCGACAAUAUACCCCAAGUAGCGGCGAGCGAAAAGGGUAAAGCCCAAACCUGCUCAAUUUUUUGGAUCUGCACAAUAAUGUGUGUCUAAAAAUUUGAGCAGGGGUUGCAGGAAGGAUUUUUUUUCUCUGGUUUGGGUGGGCAUAUAUGACAUCUAAACAAGAGCAUGAAGUUACAAAGUUGAGUUGUUAGUUGAAUGGCCCUGGAAAGGCCAACCAAAGAAGGUGAUAGUCCUGUAAGCGAAAACUCUCAACCUUUAUGAAUCGUGUUUCACCACUGUGAGACUACAGGUGCAAGAAUCAAAAAAAGAAUUAACGAAUUCUAUGAUCUUAAUCCUUGUGUCUCGUGGUGGCGAGACACGAUAAAAAGUCCUAUCCUAAGUAGCCAUGGAGCAGACUAUCCGUGGUGAAUCCGGGCCUACUACGGUCCAAGGCUAAAUACUUUUGAUGAUCGAUAGUGAACUAGUACCGUGAGGGAAAGGUGAAAAGUACCCCGGUGAGGGGAGUGAAAUAGUAACUGAAACCAUAUGCCUACAAAGAGCAGGAGCCCUUCGAUUCGACAUUGCGUGUCUCACUCAGGGUAAACCCUAUUUAAAUAUGGGGCUUGCCAUGAGCGAAGGUACGUAGUAUCGAGUCGAAUGGGUGACUGUGUGCCUAUUGAAGAAUGAUCCAACGAGUUUAAAUGUACAGCUUGCCUAAGUUCUUCGGAAUGGAGGCGUAGGGAAACCGAGUAUUAAUAGUGCGAAUAUGUUGUACGUUUAAGACCCGAAGCCAGGUGAGCUAACCAUGGCCAGGGUGAAAGUCGCCGAAAGGCGACGGGAGGCCCGAACCGGUUGGUCGCGCAGUACCAUCGGAUGAGCUGUGGUUUGGAGUGAAAAGCUUAUCGAACCUGGUAAUAGCUGGUUCUCCCCGAAAUGCCUUUAGGGGCAGCGUCUAUUAGAAGCCAUAGGGGUAGAGCACUGAAUGGUUCUCCGUGCUCUUUUGAGUAGGUUUACCAAUCAAACUUCGAAUACUAUGGUGAAUUAAUAGGCAGUGAGACCGUGAGGGCAAAGCUUCACGGUCGCGACGGAAACAGCCGUUUUAUCUCAGCUUAAGGUCCCAAAAUAUGGUCUAAGUGUUGAAGGAAGUAUUCUGCCUUGGACAGGUAGGAUGUUGGCUUAGAAGCAGCCAUCAUUUAAAAAAUGCGUAACAGCUUACUACUCAAACCCCGCUUAGCGGGGAAGGUGGAGUGCGUCGAAGAUGUAACGGGGCUAAGCCAUUACCGAAAGCGAGGGCACGAAGAUUUCUUAAAGGAUAUUUGUUUGUGUGGGGUCGUAGCACGCCGGAAGGUGCGCCUGACUUGAUCAAAGCGUAGUUCGUAAAGCGCAGAUCGUCAGGAGUCGAAGGUUCGAAUCCUUCCGACCCCACCAACCCAAUCCUUUCCCGACUUAUUUUUAGUCGGGUCCUUUAAGAAAUCUUCGUAGCGGUAGGGGAGCAUUUUAAACGCUGUGAAGGUGUGUUGUGAAGCAUGCUGGAGCGUUUAGAAGUGAGAAUGUUGGAAUGAGUAACCGCAAAUCUGGUGAAAUCCCAGAUCGCCGAAAGCCCAAGGUUUCCUCCGCAAUGGUAAUCAUCGGAGGGUUAGGCGUACCUAAGCAUAACCCUGCAUUAGUGCAGGGGAAUGCGAUGGACAGCCGGUUAAUAUUCCGGCCCUUUGGCUGUUUUCGAUGGAGUGACGGAGUUUAGUAAGUUUGGCAUGUUAUUGGAUUUGUGUUCAUUAUAUAAGGUCGCAGUUUAGGAAAAUCCGGACUGCUGUCUUUAAUGACAAGACUAAGUAUCGUGAAAACCCUGGUUCGCCGGGGAAUCAAACUGAGCAAGCUUCCAAGAAAAACUUCUAAGGUUAAAACAGUUAAAUACGUACUUAAAACCGACACAGGUGGGCAGGUAUAAAUGUACUAAGGCGAACGGGUGAUUCGUGGCUAAGGAACUCGGCAAAACAGCGGCCGUAACUUCGGGAUAAGGCCUUCCCACCGCAAGGUGGGACGCAGCUAAUGACCCCUAGCGACUGUUUAUCAAAAACACAACUCCGUGCUAACUCGAAAGAGGAUGUAUACGGGGUGACGCUUGUCCGGUGCCGGAACGUUAACCCUGGAGGUGAUUUGACUUCGGUUGAAUUGCUAACGGGCGAAGCGCCGGUGAACGACGGCAAUAACUAUAAUUGUCCAAAGGUAGCGAAAUUCCUUGGCAGGUAAGUUCUGUCCCGCAUGAAUAGCGUAACGACUGGGGGACUGUCUCAGCCACGAGCCCGGUGAAAAUGCAAUGUCGGUAAAGAUGCCGACUACCCGCACCAAGACAGAAAGACCCCGGAAGCUUUACUAUAGCUUGGUAUUGGGUUAUGAGCCCUAAUGCGUAGUGUAGUGGGGAGGCUUUGAAGCGUUGUUUUCGGAUAACGUGGAGCCGUCAAUGAAACACCCAUCUUUAGGAUUUGUAACUCUAACUGGUCCAGCCCUUUCUUUUCGGAAGGGUGGACAAAAUAUGCUUAGUAAGGAAACUAAAUUUUAUUUUGUCAGCCUUUUCUUGAUUGAAAGGGCUGGAUCGAGACAGUGCCUGGUUGGUAGUUUGGCUGGGGCUGCCGCCUCCCAAAAGGUAACGGAGGCGUUCAUCAAGGUCAGCUAACCGCGGAUGGAAAUCGCGGUGAUAGUGUAAAAGCAUAAGCUGGCUUAACUGCAAGGCGUAUAUGCCGCGCAGGUGCGAAAGCAGGAUUUAGUGAACCGACCCUUACUCGUAGGAGUGGGGAAGAUCAACAGACAAAAGCUACUCCGGGGAUAACAGGCUGGUACUGCCCGAGCGUCCAUAGCGACGGCAGUGUUCGGCACCUCGAUGUCGGCUCGGCUUAUCCUGGGGCUGGAGAAGGUCCCAAGGGUUGGGCUGUUCGCCCAUUAAAAAGCUACGCGAGCUGGGUUCAGACCGUCGUGAGACAGGUUGGUCCUUAUCUGGUGUGGGCGCAGAAACUUGAGAGGAGUUGUCCCUAGUACGAGAGGACCGGGAUGAACGAACCUCUGGUCUACCAGUUGUCGUGCCAACGGCAGCGCUGGGUAGCUAAGUUCGGUUCUGAUAAGCGCUGAAAGCAUAUAAGCGCGAAGCAGGCCUCAAGAUUAGGUUUCAUAGGAACGUAGGAGACGACUACGUUGAUAGGGUUCAGGUGUAAGCGCCGUGAGGCGUUGAGCCGAGAACUACUAAUAUUCCAUCGU